This 253-nucleotide ribosomal RNA is filed under the name uncultured bacterium. RNAcentral describes it as "partial 16S ribosomal RNA". It matches the Rfam family "Bacterial small subunit ribosomal RNA", at positions 524 to 776 of the family's 1533-position model. The record is from RNAcentral.
UACGUAGGGCGCAAGCGUUAUCCGGAAUUAUUGGGCGUAAAGAGCUCGUAGGCGGUUUGUCGCGUCUGCCGUGAAAGUCCGGGGCUCAACCCCGAACUUGCAGUGGGUACGGGCAGACUAGAGUGUGGUAGGGGAGACUGGAAUUCCUGGUGUAGCGGUGAAAUGCGCAGAGCUCGGGAAGAACAUCGGUGGCGAAAGCGCUCUGCUGGACUGCAACUGACACUCAGGGACGAAAGCUAGGGGAGCGAAUGGG